GACGAACGCUGGCGGCGUGCUUAACACAUGCAAGUCGAACGGAAAGGCCCUGCUUUUGUGGGGUGCUGGAGUGGCGAACGGGUGAGUAUGACGUGUGUAACCUGCCCUUGUCUUUGGGAUAACUUAAGGAAACUGGGGCUACUAUCGGACAGGAGCUCCUGCUGCAUGGUGGGGGUUGGAAAGUUUCGGCGGUUGGGGAUGGACUCGCGGCUUAUCAGCUUGUUGGUGGGGUAGUGGCUUACCAAUGCUGUGACGGGUAGCCGGCCUGGGAGGGUGACCGGCCACAAUGUGACUGAGAUAGGAGCCAGACGCCAACGGUGGGCAGCAGUGGGAAACAUUCCACAAUGGGCGGAAGCCUGAUACAACGACGCCGGGUGCUAGAUGACGGCCUUCGGGGAAUAAACCGCUUUCGCCUGUGACGCAGCAUGAGUGACGGUAAUUAGUAAAGAAGCACCGGCUAACUACGUG
This 468-nucleotide ribosomal RNA is filed under the name uncultured bacterium. RNAcentral describes it as "partial 16S ribosomal RNA". It matches the Rfam family "Bacterial small subunit ribosomal RNA", at positions 28 to 507 of the family's 1533-position model. The record is from RNAcentral.